This 1534-nucleotide ribosomal RNA is filed under the name Pseudomonas syringae. RNAcentral's name for it is "bacterial LSU rRNA". It matches the Rfam family "Bacterial large subunit ribosomal RNA", at positions 1 to 1581 of the family's 2925-position model. RNAcentral also lists the same sequence under 1 other name. The record is from RNAcentral. Lineage: Bacteria; Pseudomonadati; Pseudomonadota; Gammaproteobacteria; Pseudomonadales; Pseudomonadaceae.
GUUAUAUGGUCAAGUGAAGAAGCGCAUACGGUGGAUGCCUUGGCAGUCAGAGGCGAUGAAAGACGUGGUAGCCUGCGAAAAGCUUCGGGGAGUCGGCAAACAGACUGUGAUCCGGAGGUAUCUGAAUGGGGGAACCCAGCCAUCAUAAGAUGGUUAUCUUGUACUGAAUACAUAGGUGCAAGAGGCGAACCAGGGGAACUGAAACAUCUAAGUACCCUGAGGAAAAGAAAUCAACCGAGAUUCCCUUAGUAGUGGCGAGCGAACGGGGACCAGCCCUUAAGUUGUAUUGAGAUUAGCGGAACACUCUGGAAAGGGUGGCCAUAGUGGGUGAUAGCCCUGUACGCGAAAAUCCCUUUGCAAUGAAAUCGAGUAGGACGGGGCACGAGAAACCUUGUCUGAAUAUGGGGGGACCAUCCUCCAAGGCUAAAUACUACUGACUGACCGAUAGUGAACCAGUACCGUGAGGGAAAGGCGAAAAGAACCGCGGAGAGCGGAGUGAAAUAGAUCCUGAAACCGUAUGCGUACAAGCAGUGGGAGCCCACUUUGUUGGGUGACUGCGUACCUUUUGUAUAAUGGGUCAGCGACUUAUUUUCAGUGGCGAGCUUAACCGAAUAGGGGAGGCGUAGCGAAAGCGAGUCUUAAUAGGGCGUCUAGUCGCUGGGAAUAGACCCGAAACCGGGCGAUCUAUCCAUGGGCAGGUUGAAGGUUGGGUAACACUAACUGGAGGACCGAACCGACUACCGUUGAAAAGUUAGCGGAUGACCUGUGGAUCGGAGUGAAAGGCUAAUCAAGCUCGGAGAUAGCUGGUUCUCCUCGAAAGCUAUUUAGGUAGCGCCUCAUGUAUCACUGUAGGGGGUAGAGCACUGUUUCGGCUAGGGGGUCAUCCCGACUUACCAAACCGAUGCAAACUCCGAAUACCUACAAGUGCCGAGCAUGGGAGACACACGGCGGGUGCUAACGUCCGUCGUGAAAAGGGAAACAACCCAGACCGUCAGCUAAGGUCCCAAAGUCAUGGUUAAGUGGGAAACGAUGUGGGAAGGCUUAGACAGCUAGGAGGUUGGCUUAGAAGCAGCCACCCUUUAAAGAAAGCGUAAUAGCUCACUAGUCGAGUCGGCCUGCGCGGAAGAUGUAACGGGGCUCAAACCAUGCACCGAAGCUACGGGUAUCAUCUUUUGAUGAUGCGGUAGAGGAGCGUUCUGUAAGCCUGUGAAGGUGAGUUGAGAAGCUUGCUGGAGGUAUCAGAAGUGCGAAUGCUGACAUGAGUAACGACAAUGGGUGUGAAAAACACCCACGCCGAAAGACCAAGGUUUCCUGCGCAACGUUAAUCGACGCAGGGUUAGUCGGUCCCUAAGGCGAGGCUGAAAAGCGUAGUCGAUGGAAAACAGGUUAAUAUUCCUGUACUUCUGGUUAUUGCGAUGGAGGGACGGAGAAGGCUAGGCCAGCCUGGCGUUGGUUGUCCAGGUUUAAGGUGGUAGGCUGAGAUCUUAGGUAAAUCCGGGAUCUUAAGGCCGAGAGCUGAUGACGAGUGUUCUUU